This 468-nucleotide ribosomal RNA is filed under the name uncultured bacterium. RNAcentral's name for it is "partial 16S ribosomal RNA". It matches the Rfam family "Bacterial small subunit ribosomal RNA", at positions 28 to 507 of the family's 1533-position model. The record is from RNAcentral.
GACGAACGCUGGCGGCGUGCUUAACACAUGCAAGUCGAACGGAAAGGCCCUGCUUUUGUGGGGUGCUCGCGUGGCGAACGGGUGAGUAACACGUGAGUAACCUGCCCUUGACUUUGGGAUAACUUCAGGAAAGUGGGGAUAAUACCGGAUAGGAGCUCCUGCUGCAUGGUGGGGGUUGGAAAGUUUCGGUGGUAGGGGAUGGACUGGCGGCUUAUCAGCUUGUUGGGGGGGGAGUUGCUUACCAAGGCUUUGACGGGUAGCCGGCACGGGAGGGGGGACGCGGACCAGGGGCCUGAGGGAGGGACCAGUGUCGAACGGUGGACAGCGGGCGGAAGUCUGGUACAGUGGGGGGGAGUGUGAGGCGGAAGCGUCGCGAGCGGGAUGCCGGCCUUCUGGGUGUAAACCGCAGUCAGCUGAGACGAAGCGUGAGUGACGGUACUGGGUGAAGAAGCACCGGCUAACUACGUG